This 68-nucleotide transfer RNA is filed under the name Marmota monax (woodchuck). Its description in RNAcentral is "tRNA.Thr". Lineage: Eukaryota; Metazoa; Chordata; Mammalia; Rodentia; Sciuridae. The record is from RNAcentral.
GUUGUAGCUCAGCGGUGGAGCACUUGCCUCGUAUGUGUGAGGCACUGCGUUCGAUUCCCAGCACCACA